CACGGAAUUAGCCGGUCCUUUUUCUGAAGGUACAUACAAUAGAGGACACGUCCUCUUUUUAUUCCCAACUAAAAGCAGUUUACAACCCAGAGGGCCGUCAUCCUGCACGCUACUUGGCUGGUUCAGACUUUCGUCCAUUGACCAAUAUUCCUCACUGCUGCCUCCCGUAGGAGUCUGGACCGUGUCUCAGUUCCAGUGUGGGGGACCUUCCUCUCAGAACCCCUACCGAUCGAAGGCUAGGUGGGCCGUUACCCCGCCUACUACCUAAUCGGACGCAUCACCAUCUCAUACCGAUAAAUCUUUGGUUAUAUCACCAUGCGGUAACAUAACAACAUCGGGUAUUAAUCUUACUUUCGCAAGGCUAUCCCCGAGUAUGAGGCAGGUUUGAUACGCGUUACGCACCCGUGCGCCGGUCGCCAUCAGAAGAAGCAAGCUUCUUCCAUGCUGCCCCUCGACUUGCAUGUGUUAAGCCUGUAGCUAGCGUUCAUCCUGAGCCAGGAUCAAACUCU
This 509-nucleotide ribosomal RNA is filed under the name uncultured Prevotellaceae bacterium. RNAcentral's name for it is "partial 16S ribosomal RNA". Lineage: Bacteria; Pseudomonadati; Bacteroidota; Bacteroidia; Bacteroidales; Prevotellaceae. The record is from RNAcentral.